Long non-coding RNA from Erpetoichthys calabaricus (reedfish), 250 nucleotides. RefSeq lists it as uncharacterized. Lineage: Eukaryota; Metazoa; Chordata; Cladistia; Polypteriformes; Polypteridae. The transcript is spliced from 3 exons. The record is from RefSeq and is a predicted model, not a curated record.
UCUCUGUUUUUGUAGAAUUGAGCACAAUGCUGUUCUCUGAAGUAUUAAUUGUGUUCUGUAUGAGGUGAGCAGCUGCGGCUAAUGAGACUUCACAAAUAUUAACAAAUGUCAGUCUAAAGCAGCAAAUCCUACGUUUAAUUGUGGACAUCAAACCUCAUUUGACCUUCUCAGUCGUCCAUUUCAGUUCCUCACAGUCACCUCACCAGCAGUGUGAGGAGUGAAGGCCGACUGCUCCGUCUGCACUCGUCUG